RNAcentral lists this small RNA (29 nucleotides) under Bombyx mori (domestic silkworm). RNAcentral's name for it is "ovarian small RNA-22559". Lineage: Eukaryota; Metazoa; Arthropoda; Insecta; Lepidoptera; Bombycidae. The record is from RNAcentral.
UAGCUUAAGCGCUCCUUUCGGAGGAGGGC